This 497-nucleotide ribosomal RNA is filed under the name uncultured bacterium. Its description in RNAcentral is "partial 16S ribosomal RNA". It matches the Rfam family "Bacterial small subunit ribosomal RNA", at positions 28 to 507 of the family's 1533-position model. The record is from RNAcentral.
GAUGAACGCUGGCGGCGUGCCUAAUACAUGCAAGUCGAGCGAACAGACGAGGAGCUUGCUCCUCUGACGUUAGCGGCGGACGGGUGAGUAACACGUGGAUAACCUACUUAUCAGACUGGGAUAACUUCGGGACACCGGAGCUAAUCCCGGAUAAUCUAUUGAACCGCAUGGUUCAAUAGUGAAAGACGGUUUUGCUGUCUCUUAUAGCUGGAUCCCGGCUGCUUUAGCUAGUUGUUAAGGUAACGGCUUACCAAGGCAAGGAUGCGUAGCCGACCUGAGAGGGUGAUCGGCCACACUGGAGCUGAGGCACGGACAAGACGCCUGCGGGACGCAGCAGUAGGGAAUCGUCCGCAAUAGUCGGAAGCCUGGCGGAGCAGCGCGGAGUGAGUGAUAAAGAUCUUCGGAGCGUGAAACUCUCUUAUGAGGUAAGAACAAAUGUGUAAGGUACUAUGGACGGAUUGACGGUACCUGGUCAGAAAGCCACGGCUAACUACGUG